UACGAAGGGGCUAGCGUUGUUCGGAAUUACUGGGCGUAAAGCGCACGUAGGCGGACAUUUAAGUCAGGGGUGAAAUCCCGGGGCUCAACCCCGGGAACGGCCUUUGAUACUGGGUGUCUUGAGUUCGGAAGAGGUGAGUGGAAUUGCGAGUGUAGAGGUGAAAUUCGUAGAUAUUCGCAGGAACACCAGUGGCGGAAGGCGGCUCACUGGUCCGAUACUGACGCUGAGGUGCGAAAGCGUGGGGAGCAAACAGG
Molecule: ribosomal RNA, 254 nt
Filed under: uncultured bacterium
Lineage: Bacteria
Description: partial 16S ribosomal RNA
Rfam family: Bacterial small subunit ribosomal RNA
Source: RNAcentral